Molecule: ribosomal RNA, 220 nt
Filed under: uncultured Gardnerella sp.
Lineage: Bacteria; Bacillati; Actinomycetota; Actinomycetes; Bifidobacteriales; Bifidobacteriaceae
Description: partial 16S ribosomal RNA
Rfam family: Bacterial small subunit ribosomal RNA
Source: RNAcentral
UGCUCCAGAAUAGCUCUUGGAAACGGGUGGUAAUGCUGGAUGCUCCAACUUGACGCAUGUCUUGUUGGGAAAGUGUUUAGUGGCAUGGGAUGGGGUCGCGUCCUAUCAGCUUGUAGGCGGGGUAAUGGCCCACCUAGGCUUCGACGGGUAGCCGGCCUGAGAGGGCGGACGGCCACAUUGGGACUGAGAUACGGCCCAGACUCCUACGGGAGGCAGCAGA